Molecule: long non-coding RNA, 972 nt
Filed under: Parus major (Great Tit)
Lineage: Eukaryota; Metazoa; Chordata; Aves; Passeriformes; Paridae
Description: lncRNA (ENSPMJG00000016058.1)
Source: RNAcentral
CUUGACUAUAGGGACAGUACUCUGUCUGGUUGAUUUCCUCUGAUGGCAGCGCAGCCUCUUUACUGGGAAAGGAGAAAAUACCUUCUAUAGGAAAAUAUGAGCAUAAACCCAUGAAACCUGAUGUGGGAACUUCGGCAGGUAUAGCUCAUAAAACUACAUCUAAAUAGUUUCUUCUUUCUUGGUUUUACCCUGACUAUUUGGAUAUUUGCUGACUGUGCUGCUUUUAGGUUGUAUUUCCCGCUAGGGUUUUCAGUGCACGAGCUGCAGGAGCUCUUUUUUGAGAAAAAAAAAAUCCCAGCAGUUAAUUUUAUUUGUGUCAAAAAUUCCUCUGGCCUGCACUUGAAGAUAGAGUAUGCAGUACAAAACAAGAAUGGCUAUUUCAAGAGCAGAAUUUCACAGUCUGGUGCUUCUCUCUGUUAAGCACAACUCUAUGUGGUUUGUGUUUGCCUUUGGGCAUACGAGUGCCGUGGGAAAUGAACUGCCUUGGACACAGAAGUGUUGCUUGCUUCCUUGUACCCCAUUGUGGAAGCACAGAGUAAAAGGUUUCUGCUUCUGUAAAGCAACACAAGUGUCUGGAAGACCCAUGUGCAGAGACAACAGGACAGCAGUGAUCACAAAGAGGGAUGAGGGUCAUUGUAUCUAAAUUGUUUUCAAUAUUCAAAUGUCCCCUACCCUUAAACUUAGUUACCUCCUGGAUGCAAGGACUCUGCAGAUUUCAUCAGUGGUUUUCAGAAUAGGCAAAAGUAAGUCUUGAGGAAAAUUAAAAAUGUAAGUACUGACAGCAAACGUUUAUUCUUAAAUUUUUAUCAUGUUCCAUUUUUUCCUACUUAGCAACAUAAAAUGUAUCCCAUUUAAGGGCCUCUCAGUAGCAGAUGACACCGCUGAUGUCUUUAUUUGACCUGCUGGUGAUAUUCUAGAGACAAUCACAAAGGCAUGCUUUGUCAGAGGUCUACUGCCUCUACUUGCCUAAAU